Molecule: transfer RNA, 91 nt
Filed under: Hypoxylon sp. FL1150
Lineage: Eukaryota; Fungi; Ascomycota; Sordariomycetes; Xylariales; Hypoxylaceae
Description: tRNA-Pro
Rfam family: tRNA
About the family: Transfer RNA (tRNA) molecules are approximately 80 nucleotides in length. Their secondary structure includes four short double-helical elements and three loops (D, anti-codon, and T loops). Further hydrogen bonds mediate the characteristic L-shaped molecular structure. tRNAs have two regions of fundamental functional importance: the anti-codon, which is responsible for specific mRNA codon recognition, and the 3' end, to which the tRNAs corresponding amino acid is attached (by aminoacyl-tRNA synthetases). tRNAs cope with the degeneracy of the genetic code in two manners: having more than one tRNA (with a specific anti-codon) for a particular amino acid; and 'wobble' base-pairing, i.e. permitting non-standard base-pairing at the 3rd anti-codon position.
Source: RNAcentral
GGCCUCGUGGUCUAGUGGUAUGAUACUCGCUUAGGGUCAACCCUAAAGCACCAAUUGCGAGUGGCCCCGGGUUCGAGUCCCGGCGAGGCCC